RNAcentral lists this small RNA (115 nucleotides) under Firmicutes bacterium CAG:94. RNAcentral describes it as "STnc490 Hfq binding RNA". It matches the Rfam family "STnc490 Hfq binding RNA". The record is from Rfam by way of RNAcentral. Lineage: Bacteria; Bacillati; Bacillota.
AACCACUCGCUAGGCGAGUGGUUCCAAAGAAGGCUUGUGCCGAUGAUGAAGACAGAAAAACUCCUUUUGUUGUAAAAUAAACUUGCGGUCUGGCAACUGCAAGGGACAACAAAAG